GGCGUGGGGGGAGAGAACUUGCGUGAGGAGGAGAAACCAAAUUUCCUAGUUGGCGUGGACGUGGGAUUUUUCUGUUUUUGCACCUUCCAAGCGAGAAAGGUGAAAUGUGAAAUGAAUCCACGGCAGCCCCUCUCCCCGCGACAAGCGAGGAUUACUUUUUCACUGGAUACAUGAGGAGAAUUGAAGCAGGACUGUUAUGAGGAGAAGUAUAAAGAGAUAUCUAAGCUGCAGAAGUGCUGCCACAUAUAAAGACCUUCUACAAUGUGGACUGUGAGCACCUCAAAGGGCCCCCCCUGAUGGCGCAGCGGUAGCUGCCCGUAGCCUCUGCAGCACCAGUUCGAUCCCCGGCCACCAGCGAGGGUCCCACAUGGCGGGACAGACCUCUCCUGCCUCGCCCGCUGCUCCCCUCAGCAGUGUAUUUCGUCAGUCUGCCUGUUCUGUUUCCCACUCUGGCUCUGGUGAAUUCUCUCACUCUCCCGCACUUCUGACU
Long non-coding RNA from Talpa occidentalis (Iberian mole), 490 nucleotides. RefSeq lists it as uncharacterized. The transcript has 3 exons. The record is from RefSeq and is a predicted model, not a curated record. NCBI's taxonomy places the organism in Eukaryota, Metazoa, Chordata, Mammalia, Eulipotyphla, Talpidae.